GUCUAACACACACCAGGAGAAAGNGNGGGGCAAGACCGGUGCCAGCCGCCGCGGUAAUACCGGCUGCUCGAGUGAUAGCCACUUUUACUGGGCUUAAAGCGUUCGUAGCUUGGUCGUUAAGUCUCUGGGGAAAUCUUUUGGCUCAACCAAAAGGCGUCUCAGGGAAACUGGCGACCUAGGAACCGGGAGAGGUAAGACGUACUUCGGGGGUAGGAGUGAAAUCUUGUAAUCCCCGAGGGACGACCGAUGGCGAAGGCAUCUUACCAGAACGGCUUCGACAGUGAGGGACGAAAGCUGGGGGAGCAAACCGGAUUAGAUACCCGGGUAGUCCCAGCCGUAAACGAUGUGCGUUAGGUGUGUCAGCGACCACGAGUCGCUGAGGUGCCGAAGGGAAACCGUGAAACGCACCGCCUGGGAAGUACGGUCGCAAGGCUGAAACUUAAAGGAAUUGGCGGGGGAGCACCACAACGGGUGGAGCCUACGGUUUAAUUGGAUUCAACGCCGGA
Molecule: ribosomal RNA, 506 nt
Filed under: uncultured Methanomicrobiales archaeon
Lineage: Archaea; Methanobacteriati; Methanobacteriota; Methanomicrobia; Methanomicrobiales
Description: bacterial SSU rRNA
Rfam family: Archaeal small subunit ribosomal RNA
Source: RNAcentral